CAAGGAAGAGUCAGAGAGCAUACCAAAACCACUCAUUCGCAACAAAAGGCUCGAAAAAGGUCCAUCAAAGGCGGCUCAGAUCCCGCGCUGCUCGACCACGGCCCCGACCAGAAGCCGGCACGGACCCCGCCGCCACGGUCCCCAACCCCAGCCCCUACCGCCGCAGAACCGUCGCCCGCCACAGGGUCCGCAAUCCGGCGCGGCGCAGCGGGGCGGGGACCAGAGUGGCCCCGGGGAGGCGCGGAUCCGGCAACGAGCGCCGGUCGGAAACCGGCCCGGCGCCAAGCUGCGGUGCCCUUCUUCAUCGCCGCUUUUGUUCCAAGGGCUGUUGGUUUCAAUGGUGUGGUCACCGGCCGCCGCGAGUGGGAUCAGGCAGCAGGUUUAGAGCGCCUCGCAUGUGCCGCCGCCGCUGCCCACCCGGCCACACGCGGUGGCCUCACACUUAAACUAACGAUUGAGCGGUGGUUUGGUCGGAGACGGCGAGGUUUUAUGCGAGGUUCAGAUUUGGGAGGAGGAUGGGCGGAGAAGUUUGGAAUUAUGCCACUAUGA
This 549-nucleotide unclassified non-coding RNA is filed under the name Zea mays. Its description in RNAcentral is "misc RNA Zm00001eb269740". The record is from RNAcentral. Lineage: Eukaryota; Viridiplantae; Streptophyta; Magnoliopsida; Poales; Poaceae.